This 388-nucleotide ribosomal RNA is filed under the name uncultured bacterium. RNAcentral's name for it is "bacterial SSU rRNA". It matches the Rfam family "Bacterial small subunit ribosomal RNA", at positions 29 to 410 of the family's 1533-position model. The record is from RNAcentral.
AGCGAACGUUAGCGGUGUGGAUUAGGCAUGCAAGUCGUGCGCGAAAGUCCGCAAGGAUGAGUAAAGCGGCGAAAGGGUGAGUAACACGUAAUCAACCAACCCCGNGAUCGGAAUAACCACUGGAAACGGUGGCUAAUGCUGGAUGACCCUGCGAGGAGGCAUCUUCUUGCAGGUAAACGGUGGCGCAAGCUGCUGUUCGGGGACGGGAUUGCGGCCUAAUCAGCUAGUUGGCGGGUAGUGGCCCACCAAGGCGAUGACGGGUAGCCGAUCUGAGAGGAUGACCGGCCACACUGGGACUGAGAACUGCCCAGACUCCUACGGGAGGCUGCAAGUCGAGGAUCUUCCGCAAUGGGCGAAAGCCCGACGGAGCGACACCGCGUGCAGGAUG